CCCUGUUGCUGCACUGGCCCGAUGAAACGAAUGUCUUCUGCAACUGGAACGGCCCCGGCCCCGUAAACGCUGUCGCGUCGGCGGACUGAAUGCGCAGGAGGAAACAUUUUGCUGCGAAGAUGUCUCCUCUAGACGACGCCUGUAAAGGAGGGAUACCGCAUCAAGAAUGAGUUCUCCAUCGGUCCUGGUCCGGAGGCAUCACCACAAGUCACUGUUGGCUGCCGUCUUGGCGCAUACAAAGAGGGAUCAAUGACCAUUGUCAGCCCCGAAAAAUGCACGAUUGUUCCCGCUAUAGCACGAGAUGUCGCCACGCUACAGCAGACACUGACUGUGCGUACCCCAUUAGCCGGUGGCUGUAUGGCUGCGGUUGGAAUGCAUCCGCAGAGGCUUACCCAGGUAGGAACAGACACGUGCAAUGUCACGGUGGUCCUUUUUCUUUCUGCAGGCAAACUGGGAUGGUGUAAUAUGAUGACUGAACAACAGAUUGCACUAGGUUCAAGUCCUGCUUGCAAGCGGAAUUGUUUUUCUGGCCAUAGUGCGAGCCACAGUCAACCCUGUAACUUCGACCGAACGGAUAUAUUUAUUAGUCGGUGUGCGAGAUUUAUGAGUGUCAGUUGUCAUGUUGUCAAGGAGGGAGUGUGCGAGAUUUACGAGUGUGAUUGGACAGGACACUGCGCUGAAAUAGAAUGAGUGUCAUUGUGAUAACAUCAUUUAUGAGUGUGUUGUUACGAUACAGUGUUUGUUGUGCGUGUUGUCGGAUACGCCGAUAUAAUUAGUUGCAUAGAUAGUACUUACAUGGUUGCUUGUAUUUUCGCUCUCCACAGCAACUCCACUGCGUGCUGCGUUCUAUGAAUUCCUAUUCUGUACACUGACUCUCUCUGACAGGGUUGGCUGUCACCCUGUCCCUGGGCGCAAGCACACUCUGACAGACCAAACCGAUUCGCUUCAUCUCCACAAUAUUUAUCUCCUUUCGAUUUGAAUUUCUGUUUGUUCUGCACUCUGAUAUUUCCUUGUUGUUUGCAC
This is a long non-coding RNA of Sycon ciliatum, 1023 nucleotides long. RefSeq lists it as uncharacterized. Lineage: Eukaryota; Metazoa; Porifera; Calcarea; Leucosolenida; Sycettidae. The transcript is spliced from 5 exons. The record is from RefSeq and is a predicted model, not a curated record.